GGGUGCUUCUUUAGAUGAUGUUAAGGCCAUGCAGGGAACGGUCAAUCAGAUGCCUCAGGCUAACCAAUCAGUAGCUAUGUCAGUUGAAAAACAAACACCAGAUGGAAUUAAUAGAAAAGAUAAAUUCUGAACUUGACCAUUCUACAGAUCAGUUAAGCCAGGUAACCUCAACCGGAGAAUGCAAUGAGGACAAACCACCCUCAAGUCGUACAAAUCUGCAGAACUGUGGUAACCAGCUGGAAUUUCAAAACCAGAACCAGGCUCUAUUGCAUGCACAAAGCAGUCUCUGGCCUGUACAACCAUUGUUGGAGCCUUCUGUCAUGCACCCCCAGCAAAUUAAUAUACCCCAAGCUGAUUCUAAUACCCUAAAUGGUUCACUGCCUUUCCAAGAUGCUGAUGGAUGGAUUUCAAACCCCCCUUCUUGCAUCUCUCUCCCUGGGAUUUAUGGAUCAUCAGGGGCUUUGUCGAUGUUUGGGCUGCAAGAACAGUCAGCCAUACUCCCAGACCCCUCUAUACCUUUAAUGAAUCAGGAUUUGUGGGAUCAGCAACUGAACAAUUUGAGAUUUUUACCCCCAGCUAGCCAACUCGUUCCUUUAGCUCAGCAAGAACCCUGUAGUCUU
This 620-nucleotide unclassified non-coding RNA is filed under the name Hevea brasiliensis (rubber tree). The record is from RNAcentral. Lineage: Eukaryota; Viridiplantae; Streptophyta; Magnoliopsida; Malpighiales; Euphorbiaceae.